Molecule: ribosomal RNA, 813 nt
Filed under: Klebsiella pneumoniae
Lineage: Bacteria; Pseudomonadati; Pseudomonadota; Gammaproteobacteria; Enterobacterales; Enterobacteriaceae
Description: bacterial LSU rRNA
Rfam family: Bacterial large subunit ribosomal RNA
Source: RNAcentral
GCUGUGAACUCGAAGAGUAGGGCGGGACACGUGGUAUCCUGUCUGAAUAUGGGGGGACCAUCCUCCAAGGCUAAAUACUCCUGACUGACCGAUAGUGAACCAGUACCGUGAGGGAAAGGCGAAAAGAACCCCGGCGAGGGGAGUGAAAAAGAACCUGAAACCGUGUACGUACAAGCAGUGGGAGCACCUUCGGGUGUGACUGCGUACCUUUUGUAUAAUGGGUCAGCGACUUAUAUUCUGUAGCAAGGUUAACCGUAUAGGGGAGCCGCAGGGAAACCGAGUCUUAACUGGGCGUUAAGUUGCAGGGUAUAGACCCGAAACCCGGUGAUCUAGCCAUGGGCAGGUUGAAGGUUGGGUAACACUAACUGGAGGACCGAACCGACUAAUGUUGAAAAAUUAGCGGAUGACUUGUGGCUGGGGGUGAAAGGCCAAUCAAACCGGGAGAUAGCUGGUUCUCCCCGAAAGCUAUUUAGGUAGCGCCUCGUGAACUCAUCUUCGGGGGUAGAGCACUGUUUCGGCUAGGGGGUCAUCCCGACUUACCAACCCGAUGCAAACUACGAAUACCGAAGAAUGUUAUCACGGGAGACACACGGCGGGUGCUAACGUCCGUCGUGAAGAGGGAAACAACCCAGACCGCCAGCUAAGGUCCCAAAGUCAUGGUUAAGUGGGAAACGAUGUGGGAAGGCACAGACAGCCAGGAUGUUGGCUUAGAAGCAGCCAUCAUUUAAAGAAAGCGUAAUAGCUCACUGGUCGAGUCGGCCUGCGCGGAAGAUGUAACGGGGCUAAACCAUGCACCGAAGCUGCGGCAGCGAC